This 433-nucleotide ribosomal RNA is filed under the name uncultured bacterium. Its description in RNAcentral is "partial 16S ribosomal RNA". It matches the Rfam family "Bacterial small subunit ribosomal RNA", at positions 29 to 507 of the family's 1533-position model. The record is from RNAcentral.
AACGAACGCUGGCGGCAGGCCUAACACAUGCAAGUCGAGCGGACCUUUCGGGGUCAGCGGCGGACGGGUGAGUAACGCGUGGGAAUAUGCACUUCUCUACGGCAUAGUCCUGGGAAACUGGGGGCAAUACCGUAUACGCCCUUUGGGGGAAAGAUUUAUCGGGGAAGGAUUGGCCCGCGUUGGAUUAGGUAGGUGGUGGGGUAAUGGCCUACCAAGCCGACGAUCCAUAGCUGGUUUGAGAGGAUGAUCAGCCACACUGGGACUGAGACACGGCCCAGACUCCUACGGGAGGCAGCAGUGGGGAAUCUUAGACAAUGGGGGCAACCCUGAGCUAGCCAUGCCGCGUGAGUGAUGAAGGCCUUAGGGUUGUAAAGCUCUUUCAGCUGGGAAGAUAAUGACGGUACCAGCAGAAGAAGCCCCGGCUAACUCCGUG